CUCUCCAUGAGCACGACUACCUGUAAAACAUUUACAGAGAGUAAAACGUUUUACAAUUCAUGUUGUCAGCAUUUCUUUUCAAAUGUUUA
Sinocyclocheilus anshuiensis is the source of this 89-nucleotide long non-coding RNA. RefSeq lists it as uncharacterized. The record is from RefSeq and is a predicted model, not a curated record. Lineage: Eukaryota; Metazoa; Chordata; Actinopteri; Cypriniformes; Cyprinidae. The transcript has 3 exons.